CCCUUAGAUGUCCUGGGCCGCACGCGCGCUACACUGAUGCAUUCAACGAGUUCCUACCUUGGCCGAGAGGCCUGGGCAAUCUUUUGAACUUGCAUCGUGAUAGGGAUAGAUUAUUGCAAUUAUUAAUCUUGAACGAGGAAUUCCUAGUAAACGCAGAUCAUCAAUCUGCAUUGAUUACGUCCCUGCCCUUUGUACACACCGCCCGUCGCACCUACCGAUUGAAUGGUCCGGUGAAGCCUCGGGAUUGUGGUUAGUUUCCUUCAUUGGAAGUUAGCCGCGAGAACUUGUCUAAACCUUAUCAUUUAGAGGAAGGUGAAGUCGUAACA
RNAcentral lists this ribosomal RNA (326 nucleotides) under uncultured eukaryote. RNAcentral's name for it is "partial 18S ribosomal RNA". It matches the Rfam family "Eukaryotic small subunit ribosomal RNA", at positions 1470 to 1796 of the family's 1831-position model. The record is from RNAcentral.